CUUUAACCUAAAGAACCAAUUUUAUCUCCUUAACUUGAAUAUUAAUGGGAAUUUUGAAAAAAAUUACCUGUCUAAAGUAUCAACUAGAGCCAAAAUACAACAAAAAAAUUCUCGUCAUGUUUUUAUUAUAGUAAGAUUUCCAGGAGAAAAGUUAUUAUAGAUUAAAACUAAUAGACUCCUCUCUCUACUCUGAAUCUAAUAAUAAUAUGUUGUGAUUUUUUUUGCAAUAAUUUAAUAAGAUUUAAUUAUAAAUUAUAAAACAUUUUGUUGUUUGAUUGUCUGUAUAUCAGGGUAUCACAAUAAUAUUGAUAAAACCGUGCAAUUGAAAAUAAUUAAAUAUUGGAGAAAUAGUCAGCGCUAUCUAUUAUUCUAUAAAAAUGUUUUCUAUAGUAGGUAUAUUUUUAAAAACCAUUUUAUAUAGAUAAUUUAUUGUAUAAUUUUCAAUUAUUACUACAGCCUGUAUUUGGUAAUUAAAAUACAUUAAAACUACAAAAAUCAUAGUAUUAUUUAUUAAAAUUAAGACUAAAAACUGUUAUCAAUUUUAACGGUUUCAGUUUUUGAAAUUCUUUAGUUUUGAUUUUGGGUUU
Non-coding RNA from Cinara cedri, 587 nucleotides. The record is from the annotation of a GenBank genome assembly. NCBI's taxonomy places the organism in Eukaryota, Metazoa, Arthropoda, Insecta, Hemiptera, Aphididae.